This 29-nucleotide small RNA is filed under the name Bombyx mori (domestic silkworm). RNAcentral describes it as "ovarian small RNA-4664". The record is from RNAcentral. Lineage: Eukaryota; Metazoa; Arthropoda; Insecta; Lepidoptera; Bombycidae.
CACCGAUGGGAUCGCUAAGCCGCCGUCCU